Non-coding RNA from Pelobates cultripes (western spadefoot toad), 284 nucleotides. NCBI's taxonomy places the organism in Eukaryota, Metazoa, Chordata, Amphibia, Anura, Pelobatidae. The record is from the annotation of a GenBank genome assembly.
CUACAACAGGAAGCUGUGGGCUGCUCUACUCCAGUGUGGAUUCCCAUUCACAAGUGCUGGGAGGAAGUGAUCUGAUAAAUGGAGGAUUGUCCUUCACCACCUUUUCGUAUUACAGAUAUCUGAAGUUUCACUGGGACCCCUGACAGGCCAGAGCCUAUUUGGCUCUUGUAGCCUUGAGUGCCGUGCAAAGGCACCUCGAGUGCCGUGCAUGGCACUAGUGCCAUAGGUUGCCUACCCCUGACCUAGACGGUGAGUACAGGGGCUGGUGGUCACUCCUCUCCUGC